CCUACGGGAGGCAGCAGUGAGGAAUAUUGGUCAAUGGGCGGAAGCCUGAACCAGCCAAGUAGCGUGCAGGAUGACGGCCCUACGGGUUGUAAACUGCUUUUAUACGGGAAUAACGCGCCUUACGUGUAGGGCUUUGCAUGUACCGUAUGAAUAAGGACCGGCCAAUUCCGGGCCCGCAGCCGCGGUAAUACGGAGGAAUCAAGCGUUAUCCGGAUGUAUUGGGGUUAAAGGGUGCGUAGGCGGUCGGAUAAGUUAGAGGUGAAAUCACGAGGCUCAACUUCGGAAUUGACUCUGAUACUGUUCGGCUAGAGAGUAGUUGCGGUAGGCGGAAUGUAUGGUGUAGCGGUGAAAUGCUUAGAGAUCAUACAGAACACCGAUUGCGAAGGCAGCUUACCAAGCUACUUCUGACGUUGAGGCACGAAAGCGUGGGGAGCAAACAGGAUUAGAUACCCCAGUAGUC
Molecule: ribosomal RNA, 460 nt
Filed under: uncultured bacterium
Lineage: Bacteria
Description: partial 16S ribosomal RNA
Rfam family: Bacterial small subunit ribosomal RNA
Source: RNAcentral